AAACCAUACAUCAGGCAUUUUGUAAUUAAUUCCUUGAAUCAGUCCCAAGCUUCAUACAAUGUCUCAUCCUCAUAUUGCUGAAAAGAUGUAAUAUCAUUCCUUAAUUU
This is a small nucleolar RNA of Gossypium arboreum, 107 nucleotides long. It matches the Rfam family "Plant small nucleolar RNA R71". Rfam says of the family: R71 is a member of the C/D box family of snoRNAs containing the C (UGAUGA) and D (CUGA) box motifs. Multiple nearly identical copies of this snoRNA have been identified in Arabidopsis, and it is thought to function as a 2'-O-ribose methylation guide for 18S ribosomal RNA. Lineage: Eukaryota; Viridiplantae; Streptophyta; Magnoliopsida; Malvales; Malvaceae. The record is from Rfam.